Molecule: unclassified non-coding RNA, 296 nt
Filed under: Hevea brasiliensis (rubber tree)
Lineage: Eukaryota; Viridiplantae; Streptophyta; Magnoliopsida; Malpighiales; Euphorbiaceae
Source: RNAcentral
CAUCAUUCAGCCUGGGCCAAGAAAGCUUUCGGCUUUAAUCUCGUCUCCUUUCCUCCUUCUAUAUAUAACGUUUUUCUAUAGUACUUUUUCGUCUGAUCCCCAACAAAACUUUUAUAGUGCUUUCUCUCUCUGAUUGUAAGGGCAAGAAUGGGUAGUCUUGAAACUGAGAGAACUGUGGUAGGAUGGGCAGCAAAAGAUCCAUCUGGGGUCCUUUCUCCUUAUUCCUACACUAUCAGAAACACAGGCCCAGAGGAUAUUUUGUUGAAAGUUCUCAGCUGUGGAAUCUGCCACACUGA